Molecule: long non-coding RNA, 1095 nt
Filed under: Felis catus (domestic cat)
Lineage: Eukaryota; Metazoa; Chordata; Mammalia; Carnivora; Felidae
Description: lncRNA (ENSFCAG00000053533.1)
Source: RNAcentral
UACCCAAGGACAUGUAAUGCCAGGAGUAACCCAGCCCCAUGGCGCAGACACACACGCGCACACACACACGCACACACACGACACCCCAACGCUCCAACUCAUACUCAUUGCAUCCCACACAAAACCCACACCAUCUCCCCCCCACACACACAGGCCACCGCAUUCCCGUGUGCCCAGUCACACACGCAGGGAGUGCCCCCUCGCAUUCUCUCACUUCCCCAGUGUGCCCGGCCCACACCCCACACCGCCGGCAGACUGCAGCCUAGCCUGAAGCUGGAAGCUGGUGCGGACUGGUUUUUGUUGUAUGUAACAAAGCCCCAUGCACCCAGGUGCCCCGCUGGAUCGGCUCCAUCCAUCUCUCCCCGCCCCCAUCCACGAGCUCCCAGAACAAGAGAAAGCUCAGCUCUGGGAAGUGGAUGCGGGGAGUGGGGGUGCAGAGAAAGAGAGCUUGAGGGGUGGGCGGGGGGCGGGAGUGCGGGCAGCUUCGGGGCGCCCUCGCCACGAAGCCACAAGGACGGCCAACUGCCAAAGGGACCGGGGCUGCCCUCCCAGCCCAUCGCACGCCGUCGAUGCCUAGAAAAAGACCCAACGCGGAGAGAUAAUCGCCCCCCGCGCCCGCCGCGUGCCCUCCCGGCGGCUCCGGGAGCCAGCGGCGCUCCGACUGUCCGCAACAAAGCGCCCCCCGCACAGACCUGUUCCAGGCUCCCCGGGCGGCCCGAGCGCAGGCGGCCGCUGCUGAGGGUUCUGCCCUUCGCCGCGGCGGACGGGAGGAGGAGCAGGAACUGGGGGAGGAACGAGGACGAGAGGGGAGCGGAGACCGCGGUGGCGGCGGUGGCGGCGGCGGCGGCGGCGGCAGGAGGAGGAGGAGGAGGAGGAAGAGGAGGAGGAGGAGGAGGAGGAGGUUGCGUCUGCGGCCGCCGCCGAGGAUGCUCGCGAGGGAGGCAGGGCGGUGCGCUCGGGGCGUGGGCUCACGUGCGCCCCGCGGCCCCGGGCUGCGCGCGCGGCUGGGUGUGUGAGAGCAUCUGGUCUUCCUUCUGGGCGCCGGUGGCUUGCCGCCGCACACAUCUCUGGAAAGCCUACGGCCAAAGAGAAUAA